Molecule: ribosomal RNA, 910 nt
Filed under: uncultured Thermotoga sp.
Lineage: Bacteria; Thermotogati; Thermotogota; Thermotogae; Thermotogales; Thermotogaceae
Description: bacterial SSU rRNA
Rfam family: Bacterial small subunit ribosomal RNA
Source: RNAcentral
AGAGUUUGAUCCUGGCUCAGGGUGAACGCUGGCGGCGUGCCUAACACAUGCAAGUCGAGCGGGUACCCGCAAGGGUACCAGCGGCGCACGGGUGAGUAACACGUGGGUAAUCUACCCCUCGGAGGGGGAUAACCGGGGGAAACUCCGGCUAAUACCCCAUACGAUCCAACAACACAAGUUGUUGGAUGAAAGGAGCGUUUGCUCCGCCGAGGGAUGAGCCCGCGGCCCAUCAGGUAGUUGGUGGGGUAAUGGCCCACCAAGCCUACGACGGGUAGCCGGCCUGAGAGGGUGGUCGGCCACAAGGGCACUGAGACACGGGCCCUACUCCUACGGGAGGCAGCAGUGGGGAAUCUUGGACAAUGGGCGAAAGCCUGAUCCAGCGACGCCGCGUGGGGGAUGAAGCCCUUCGGGGUGUAAACCCCUGUUGCGAGGGAGGAAUAAGGCCUGGAGGAAAUGCCAGGCCGAUGACUGUACCUCGCGAGGAAGCCCCGGCUAACUACGUGCCAGCAGCCGCGGUAAUACGUAGGGGGCGAGCGUUACCCGGAUUCACUGGGCGUAAAGCGGGUGUAGGCGGCUCGGUAAGUCGGGUGUGAAAUCCCACAGCUCAACUGUGGAAUUGCGCCCGAAACUGCUGAGCUUGGGGCCGGUAGAGGGAGACGGAACUGCCGGUGUAGGGGUGAAAUCCGUAGAUAUCGGCAGGAACGCCGGUGGGGAAGCCGGUCUCCUGGGCCGCGCCCGACGCUGAGACCCGAAAGCUAGGGGAGCAAACCGGAUUAGAUACCCGGGUAGUCCUAGCCGUAAACGAUGCCCACUAGGUGUGGGGGAUUAAUUCCUCCGUGCUGUAGCUAACGCGUUAAGUGGGCCGCCUGGGGAGUACGCCCGCAAGGGUGAAACUCAAAUGAAUUGACGG